Apis cerana (Asiatic honeybee) is the source of this 5555-nucleotide long non-coding RNA. RefSeq lists it as uncharacterized. The record is from RefSeq and is a predicted model, not a curated record. Lineage: Eukaryota; Metazoa; Arthropoda; Insecta; Hymenoptera; Apidae.
AAAGCGAAUGGCAGUGAAGCAGUCGGACGAGCUUUGAGCCCAGGCUACGCCGGAGGCCGAAAUGAAAGAGAAGGUGAACGCAAAUACGGUGUAAAUCAUGCGUGGGCACGUACACGAAAUCAAUCGAAAACCGGUGAUCGAAGAUCGUUCCCGAGGCCAGUAUCAAUAACCCCAAUCACCGGAUCGUUAAAGAUCGCAGUGUCGGUCGGCCCUUAACGAUGCAAUUAGGCCGCGAGAGGGCGCUCGAAUUAGGAUUGAUAAAUGUCAGGAACGCCUCCAUACUGCUCGCGUCGUUUCUGCUCUUCGCAAUCAGAGGCAAACGAAUUUAUUCGGUAUGUAGAUGCAAUAUACUGACUCUGCCCGCGUCAUUAAUCCUCUGUCGCGCCGGUAAUAAGCCCUUAAUCUUCUCAGAGUAUCGGCUACCAACCAGCGAAGGAUCUCGCGAGUGUAUUCGCAAGGUUAGGUUAGGUUAGAUUGGUCGUCUUGGAUUCGUACGCAUAUUCCGCAAAUUUGCAAGAAAAUUGCGGCUUCUUAUGCGAUAGCAAGGUGGUAUUUAUAAAUGGAAAGAUACUUUUCGUGUUGCUUGCGAUUAUUAAAGGUAAUUAAUGCGGUUAAUAAAUAUUGGCUCGAUCGCGUUAAAUCAUAGCGAAGGCCACCGGAUGGGAUCGAGGCUUCUGAAGAAGCCGGUCUUGGGUAGAUUGUGGAAUUUAUAUGGUUUUUUCCAUUUCUUUUUGCAUCUUCGAGAUUUUUUCUUUCGUGGUUCUUGGAGAUUUUUGUGAAUAUAAAUUUUUCGAUCGUGUGAAAUUGAUCGAGAGUUCAGAUAAGAUUUAUUGGAAGAUUGGAAAGAGGUUUUUUUAGUGGAUGCUUCCAAUAGAAAUUUUGUAUACAGUGUGAGAUGAAAGUAUUGAUGGGAUUGUAAUUAUAAUAAAUUUGAGAAACAAGUAUUUUAUAUAAAGAGAAGUACAAAAAGGUUGACAAAAAGAAAGAAAUAAGUUUUAAAUUUAAUAAGAACAUGUAAAAAUGGAAGAGAAUUAAAAUUACGCGCGGAAAGAAUGUGACUGUACGUUUCCAAGGAGCCUAUGUUCAGUUCGUAAUUUCAAUUCAUUUAAAUACACCAUAAAAAGCUUCGAUUUAUUUCUGUCGCGCUACGUAACCGCCAUGAAAGGAAUAUUCCUCGGUGAAGGUGAAAGUUCGAGGAUCGUCCACGAUGUACUGUAAAUCAUUCGAACAGCCCACGGAAAUAAAACAACAGGAAAGUCUUGCACCAUCUCUCCUCCACCUUCGAGUGAAUGAAUCCAAAUAAUAUUUCUAAUAGUAUAAAUCCAAAAUUUUCUCAUUCUUGGAUUUUCUUCGACGAUUAUACUUAUCCAAGAAAAGCAAAGAUAACUCAUCCAGUGAUAGCUGCAGUUUUGAAAUCACGGCACGUAAUCAUUGGCUGUAAAGUCUAUAACCUUGAUGUGACCUUCCUUUGAAUUGACCCUGACAGCCGUGCCGGGCCCAGCAGGCCUGACCAACGUUCCCUUAUUUUCGUAUCGUAGAGGCCUGCGAUGAGUCGGUCCCAUUACAAGACACGAUGGAGGGGACAAGCUGGAUUUAAUGAGCGGUUUCGCCUUUCGGUUGGCGCGAUAUGCGCGCCGAUUCCUUGUAAUUGGUAUAAUUGGCUUUGGCCGAUCGGUGACCGGGUUGCUCGUUUCAAGGGUCGUCACUUUCGGCUCCGGUGAAUUCAAUCGAUCCUGUCUUUAUCGGAACUCCUUUAUUCAGUCGGCUUUGAUCGAUUUUGGCGGGUCACUUUGUGAGCGAAAGUCGGUUGCGAUGAUUGGCCAACCAUGAUCGACGGCCACUAACUGAAUUUUGAACAGAGAUAUGAUAGAUAGAUUCUAGAUUAAUCUAUAAAUAUGACCUAAUCUAUAUUUUAACGUAUUCUUAACGAAUAAGUUUGAAAAGAAAUUGUAUUAAAAAAUAUUUUGGAAAAAUUUUAAAAUAGUUAUUAAAGUUUUUAAUUUAAUGUAUAAAUCUUUUAAAAAUGGAAAUUUUUAAUUUCUUAUAAAGAGAUUUAAUGAAAUUUUCUCUCAGUUCUUAGUAACUUAAUCUAAUUGUUAAAUUGUUUUUAUUAUACAUAUAUGUAAAUUAUAUUUUUUUACAACUUUUCUAAAAUUUUUUAGAAUUUUUAGAAUAGAAAAAUGUGAUACAAAAUAUCUUAGAAUUUAAAUAAAUUAUUCUUAGCUAUAUAAUUUUAUAUAAUAUGAAUAUAUUUAUAAAAUUUUUAUAUUUUAUACAAUUUUUCUUUAAUUUUCCACUAUUCUUUCUUUCCAAAAUAAUGUUGACUUAUUUGCAAUAUCAAAUCAUUUGAUUAUUCUAUUUGACAAAUAAAAAAGUAUAUUUAUAGUCCAAUUAAUUUGUAAUUUAAUCAUUUUCUGAUAUUUACUAUCAAUUGACUUUUUCAAAAAUCCAAUUUUUCUUCUCAAACCUAAGAUAAAAUCUAAAAUUUCCAUCUUCACAAAAAAUAGUCGCACAAUGCCAAAAUAUCCAUUGUUCAAUAUAUCAUAUAUUCUUUUCUUUCGGCCGUUUCUUCUCUGAUUCAAGCACCGGUUCAGUUACACGGUCAAAAGGAGGAUAGAAAUAAAAGAACAAGGUAACCGAUGUUACUUUCAUUCGUUGCUUCGAGCCGCGUUCGUGGCCAACUCUUAUUUCACAAUCGAACUAUAAGAUCGUGAUCUCGGUUGCCUCUCAUUCGACUUUCCAUUUCGUUCGAUACACACCGCGCACAUAAUACAUUACCCUGCCGCUUGUUCGCCGCUUUUAAGGCGCUGAUUAUGCAUGCGUCCGGAUAUUUAUGCGCCGCGAGAACUUCGACCGAUUUUUAUUUUUGCCACACGUUAAUCACACCACGGCUUGAGGACGACCAAACAAAAGAUUUAUGUGUUUUCGUAAAAUGGGGAGUGGCGGUGAGGUAGCGCGGAUCCUUCUUUUUCUUUGAACUUCCCGCGCGAAUUUUAUUCUCCGAAAUUUCCAAGAUUCUUUUCAAAGAUAUUAUGGAUUAAAUCGAUUUGUAAAUAUUUCGUUUAUGAGGAAAUUUUUAGUAAAAAUGUAAUAAAUAAUGAACGAGAAUAAAUGGAUAUUUUUCGUAUUUAAUUUAUUAUAUGUAAAUUAAUUUAAUCUAAUCGAUAUUUUUUAAAUGUUCAAAAAGAUUUAUUCUUACUGAGAUGAAAAGGAGAAAAUCAGGUGGAACUAUAAGUUGAAUAAUCGAUUAUAUUUGGUAAAACAUUUACAAGGUAAUAAGAUUUUUUUUUUGUUCAUUUAACGUUACAUUUACAGGCAAGGCAUCAUCAAAGACCGUACCAACUCUACAAUAAUUGUAAUAAUUGUAUAAUGUUUACUUAUAAGAAAAGUAUGUACCAUCAAAUUAUCUUUAUCGUUACUAUCAAUAUUUAAUAUUACGGUAGUUCGCUACUCUUAUUAAUUCUUUUGUCAGGAACAAAUACAUAUUCUUUUUUUUUUUUUUUGUUUAUUCUUCUCAAUAUAUUUAUAUUAUUUAUAAUAUAUACCAUUUUUUUUCUUUUGCAUUAAUCUUUAUAAUCAAUAUACAUCAAUUCGCGAUUACAUUGAACGGUGUUUAAGAACUGCACCCCGUGUAGGCAAAACAAGAUUUUCGGACACAUUCCUCGAGGUGUGUGUGCCUCCACGAUCGAACGAACAAAGAAAAAUAUACGUGUUAUAUUAUAUUAUAGAAUAUGUACUGUGUAUGCAUACGAAAAAUUAAAAAGGAAGAGAAAAAAAAUUCUGGAAAUGUUUAAAACGUGUGUUCUUCCUUUCUUCGAAAUUACACGCCACCUUCUUUCGUCUUUCCUUUUUCCUUUCGAUCGUAUGUUUCAGUCGUAUCGUUGAGUCGAUGCUCUUUUGAAAACGAUUCGAUCCACGUUAUUUUUCUUUCUGCAUAACCUUUUUCUUACGAUUCGUUUUCGAAGAGCGUUUUCGAUCGAUUUUCGAAUAGAAUUGCGGAAGAUUUGAUCAGUCGCAAAAUAUAUCGAAACAAAUUUAUCGAAACAAUUUUGAUAUAAUUAUUUAAACAGAAUUGAUUCAAACUUGUUUAAUGUACAUUUAUAUCGAUAUUAAAUAUUUUUGCCAGAAUUGUGAUUUCAAAAACUUUUCAUCAAUUCCAUAAUCGAAAUAUAAAUCGAUAUCAAGUGUAUCAAAUAACGACAUUUUCCAAUUCAGAUUCGAUAAUAGCGCGACUGAAAUCGUAAAUAUAAACGUAAUUGUUCUAAUAUAUUUCAUUCCGCAUUACAAGUGUACGACAAAUGUAUACGUCUCAAAUACACAGUUUUAACGUAGUACAACUAUCCUGUAUGAUACGACGAUAUUAAAGGCCGAUCCACAUUGACAGAGAAUUGUCCGCGUAUCGUGUCUUUUGACUAUAUAUAAGUUGUAUUUAGUCCACAAAUAUAAUUCGCCGUUCAACUAUUGACAAACAGUACACAGAUUAUUCGCAGACAAUGUCUAUGAGUGUAGAUAGGUCUUAAGGAUUAUUACAUUCGUUGAAGUGAAGACGCUCGAAUGAAAGGAGGCGUUUCUCGGUGCCGCGAAGCGAAGUCUAUUUCAUGCUCGCACGUAAAGACAGAUAGAUAGACAGACAGGCGGACAGAAGCAGAGAAAAAGAGUAGCAUGUAUAUGUAUGUAUGUAUGUAGAGAGAGAGAGUGAGAGAGAGAGAGAACUAUUGCACUAUACUGAUUCAUGAUAAUCGCUUGAUUAACUAGGCUGCGGCAGCGUUUCGUGGAGAUUUCACAUACGGUUCGAUGAAUCUCUUGAAUUGGUUCAAACGUUGCUGAAGGAAUAGCUUGGAAACUUGAGAAUAUUAUUUUAUCGAUAAUAUUGAAAUUUGGAAUAUAGGUUUUAAGGAUGUAUGGGAGUUUUAAGUUCAAGUAUCUAUUAAGUAGAAAUUUUAAAUUAAAAUUUGUUUGGUAUUUGUUAAAUUUAUGGCAAGAAUUUGAAAAUAAAUGUGAUGUAAUCAUUUUUGAAUAAUUUUUCUUUUUGAUAUUGUAGAAAAGACAAAGAAGUAUAGAUUAUAUUUAUAUUUGUUAGAAUUAUUGAAGUAUUUGUAUUGUUUUCUUUUUUUCAAUUUUAAAAUUAAAUUUAUUUUUUUUUUUACUUAAAUUGCCCCUCAAUCUUUUAUUUUAUAAUAUUGCACUACGCAUCUGAAACGAAUUAUUAUAAAAAAUCAAAUACAAUUCAAUCAAACUAUACAUCACACAUCACUUUUGCUGAACGCAAAUAAAAAAGACAAAAUCAUAAGGCAAUAAGUUAUUUAACACCGAAUUCUUUUAUUACAUAAACACAUAAACGAUUGAAAAUAUACAAAUCUUUCUAAGACUCUUUCAAGACAUACCAAAUCACAAUCCCUUUCAAAAUUUCAAUUUUAUCAAGUUCCUAAAAGCUUUUUAAUAAAGUUUUGAAAUAUUUCAAGCAUUCCACAAAACAUAUUUCAACUCACUCAAAGAUAUUUUUCAAAUAUUAAUCCAAGCUUCUAAAUCAUUAAAAAUCAACUUCUCAAAAAAAA